This 506-nucleotide ribosomal RNA is filed under the name Candida albicans. RNAcentral describes it as "eukaryotic LSU rRNA". The stretch from base 140 to 293 matches the Rfam family "5.8S ribosomal RNA". The record is from RNAcentral. Lineage: Eukaryota; Fungi; Ascomycota; Pichiomycetes; Serinales; Debaryomycetaceae.
CUGAUUUGCUUAAUUGCACCACAUGUGUUUUUCUUUGAAACAAACUUGCUUUGGCGGUGGGCCCAGCCUGCCGCCAGAGGUCUAAACUUACAACCAAUUUUUUAUCAACUUGUCACACCAGAUUAUUACUAAUAGUCAAAACUUUCAACAACGGAUCUCUUGGUUCUCGCAUCGAUGAAGAACGCAGCGAAAUGCGAUACGUAAUAUGAAUUGCAGAUAUUCGUGAAUCAUCGAAUCUUUGAACGCACAUUGCGCCCUCUGGUAUUCCGGAGGGCAUGCCUGUUUGAGCGUCGUUUCUCCCUCAAACCGCUGGGUUUGGUGUUGAGCAAUACGACUUGGGUUUGCUUGAAAGACGGUAGUGGUAAGGCGGGAUCGCUUUGACAAUGGCUUAGGUCUAACCAAAAACAUUGCUUGCGGCGGUAACGUCCACCACGUAUAUCUUCAAACUUUGACCUCAAAUCAGGUAGGACUACCCGCUGAACUUAAGCAUAUCAAUAAGCGGAGGA